RNAcentral lists this ribosomal RNA (518 nucleotides) under uncultured bacterium. RNAcentral describes it as "bacterial SSU rRNA". It matches the Rfam family "Bacterial small subunit ribosomal RNA", at positions 772 to 1278 of the family's 1533-position model. The record is from RNAcentral.
ACUCAAUAGAUACCCCGGUAGUCCUGGCAGUAAACGGUGUGCGUUUGGUGUGGGAGGAAUCGACCCCUUCCGUGCCGGAGCUAAACGCGUUAAAAACGCACCGCCUGGGGAGUACGGUCGCAAGAUUAAAACUCAAAGAAAUUGACGGGGGCCCGCACAAGCGGUGGAGUAUGUGGCUUAAUUCGAUGCAACGCGAAGAACCUUACCUGGGCUUGACAUGCAUCUCUAAGGCGGUGAAAGCCGUCGAGUGGAGCAAUCCACAAUUUGCACAGGUGCUGCAUGGCUGUCGUCAGCUCGUGUCGUGAGAUGUUGGGUUAAGUCCCGCAACGAGCGCAACCCCGUUGUGAUCUGUUGCCACCUCCUUUAUGGAGAGCACUCUGGUCAGACUGCCCUGUGAAACGGGGUAGGAAGGUGGGGAUGACGUCAAGUCAGCAUGGCCCGUUACGCCCAGGGCUGCACACGUACUACAAUGCCCAGUACAGAAACGAGCCGAGACCGCGAGGUGGAGGAAACUCACC